CCGCCGCCGGCGAAACUCCGCCCCUAGCUCGGCUCCCGGGGCCUGUCCCCGCCCAUGGCACUCGCCCGUGGCACUCGCCCCGCCCGUUCAGCGGAGGCUGACCUUCCGGCUGGACGCGCAGGUUGUGGUGGUCCCUUGGGAGGAAAGGCGGGAGUGGAUAUUUGGGGUUCCUUGCGGGCGCCAAGUGGAUCAUGGAAAUGCUGGAGUUCCGGUGGCUGAGCACAUUCUGGGGAAAACGAAGAACCGUAUUGACAGAAGUCACAGAAGAGUCGGAUCGAUGGGAGGAAAAAAAACAUGGAAAUUGUGUGACGUCUCUUUUUAAAUAUGCCUGCGAGGACGCAGUGAGAAGGCGCUGUGUGUAAGGCAGGAAGCAGCUUCUCAACAGACUCUGAACCUGCCCUGCGUGGAUGUGGGACUUCCAGCGUCCAGAACUGUGAGCAAGCUACGUGUGGCGUUUGUGACCCACCCAGUCGCUGGAGGCGAUGGUUCGUAAUAAAUGUCCCCUAGAUGGGAUGGAAGGGUGCAAAGGAUGACCAAUCCUGGGUGUGUCUGUGACACGGUUGCCACAGGAGAUGAACAUUUGAGUCUGGGGGCUGGGAAAGUCAGAACCACCCUCAAUCUGGGUGGGCACCAUCUCAUCGGCAGCCAGCUUGGCUACAGUAUAAGCAGGUAGAAAAUAUACAGAGGAGACUGGCCUCGCCUCCCAGCCUCCAUCUUCCUCCCAUGCUGGAGGGUCCCGGCCCUCAGACAUCAGACUCCAGAUUCUUCAGUUUGGAGAUGUGGGCUUGCUGUCCUUGCUCCUCAGCCUGCAGAUGGCCUAUUAUGGGACCUUGUGAUUGUGUAAAUUAAUUCUUAAUGAACUCCCCUUCCUCCCUUUCUCUGCUUUCUUUCUCCUCUUCCUUUCUUCUUUCUUUCUUUCUUUCUUUCUUUUUCUUUCUUUCUUUCUUCUCUCUCUCUCUUUCUUUCUCUUUCUCUUUCUUUCCCUUCUUUUCUUCCUUCCUUUCUUUCUUUUUCUCUUUCCCUUCCUUCCUUCCUUCCCUCCCUCACUCCCUCUCUUUUCUCUCCUUCCUUCCUUCCUUCUUUCUUUCUUUCUUUCUUUCUUUCUUUCUUUCUUUCUUUCUCUCUUUCUCUUUCCCUCCUUCCCUCCCUCCCUCCCUCCUUCCUUUCUUUCUUUCUUUCUCUCUUUCUCUUUCCCU
Molecule: long non-coding RNA, 1196 nt
Organism: Callithrix jacchus (white-tufted-ear marmoset)
Lineage: Eukaryota; Metazoa; Chordata; Mammalia; Primates; Cebidae
Source: RefSeq, a predicted model, not a curated record